UCGAAAAGCCCAAAGGAUAAGGUAUGUUUAUAUGUGCAUUGGAAAAGUCGAUAUGUUUGAGUAACAUUCGUUCAAUCGACUAACGAGUUUUCAGCUAUUGAAUUGGUUGAUAUCUUGUGAAAGUAUAUAAUGAUGAAGUGUGAAAUUUUGCUCGUUAGCGAUCGGAUUCGGGAUCAUUAAAGUCGAAGUCAUCUACACUAUCAAAGCCUCCAUUUUGGUAUAAUUUUGGUUGAACUUUGAAAUGGCAUGUAUAGGACUACCCUAUUGUUGAAGGUCAUGUACCUUUCGGUUUUGUGUAAACUUGGAUAGCCAUGCGAAAAUGGCUUAUAUCGUUUUUGGUAUGAUACUAUAA
Long non-coding RNA from Gossypium arboreum, 352 nucleotides. RefSeq lists it as uncharacterized. The record is from RefSeq and is a predicted model, not a curated record. NCBI's taxonomy places the organism in Eukaryota, Viridiplantae, Streptophyta, Magnoliopsida, Malvales, Malvaceae. The transcript has 2 exons.